This 686-nucleotide ribosomal RNA is filed under the name Bacillus sp. CH98b. RNAcentral's name for it is "bacterial SSU rRNA". It matches the Rfam family "Bacterial small subunit ribosomal RNA", at positions 76 to 747 of the family's 1533-position model. Lineage: Bacteria; Bacillati; Bacillota; Bacilli; Caryophanales; Bacillaceae. The record is from RNAcentral.
GAGCUUGCUCCCGGAUGUUAGCGGCGGACGGGUGAGUAACACGUGGGUAACCUGCCUGUAAGACUGGGAUAACUCCGGGAAACCGGAGCUAAUACCGGAUAGUUCCUUGAACCGCAUGGUUCAAGGAUGAAAGACGGUUUCGGCUGUCACUUACAGAUGGACCCGCGGCGCAUUAGCUAGUUGGUGAGGUAACGGCUCACCAAGGCGACGAUGCGUAGCCGACCUGAGAGGGUGAUCGGCCACACUGGGACUGAGACACGGCCCAGACUCCUACGGGAGGCAGCAGUAGGGAAUCUUCCGCAAUGGACGAAAGUCUGACGGAGCAACGCCGCGUGAGUGAUGAAGGUUUUCGGAUCGUAAAGCUCUGUUGUUAGGGAAGAACAAGUGCAAGAGUAACUGCUUGCACCUUGACGGUGGGGGGGGGGAAAGCCACGGCUAACUACGUGCCAGCAGCCGCGGUAAUACGUAUGUGGCAAGCGUUGUCCGGAAUUAUUGGGCGUAAAGGGCUCGCAGGCGGUUUCUUAAGUCUGAUGUGAAAGCCCCCGGCUCAACCGGGGAGGGUCAUUGGAAACUGGGAAACUUGAGUGCACAAGAGGAGAGUGGAAUUCCACGUGUAGCGGUGAAAUGCGUAGAGAUGUGGAGGAACACCAGUGGCGAAAGCGACUCUCUGGUCUGUAACUGACGCU